RNAcentral lists this ribosomal RNA (798 nucleotides) under uncultured Flavobacteriaceae bacterium. RNAcentral describes it as "bacterial SSU rRNA". It matches the Rfam family "Bacterial small subunit ribosomal RNA", at positions 56 to 848 of the family's 1533-position model. Lineage: Bacteria; Pseudomonadati; Bacteroidota; Flavobacteriia; Flavobacteriales; Flavobacteriaceae. The record is from RNAcentral.
UGCAGUCGAGGGGUAACAGGAUUUAGUUUACUAGAUUGCUGACGACCGGCGCACGGGUGAGUAACGCGUAUACAAUUUACCUUUUACUGGAGGAUAGCCCAGAGAAAUUUGGAUUAAUACUCCAUAGUAUUAUUUGGUCACCUGAUCGAGUAAUUAAAGUUCCGGCGGUAAAAGAUGAGUAUGCGUCCUAUUAGCUAGAUAGUAAGGUAACGGCUUACCAUGGCGACGAUAGGUAGGGGUCCUGAGAGGGAGAUCCCCCACACUGGUACUGAGACACGGACCAGACUCCUACGGGAGGCAGCAGUGAGGAAUAUUGGGCAAUGGAGGCAACUCUGACCCAUCCAUGCCGCGUGCAGGAAGACUGCCCUAUGGGUUGUAAACUGCUUUUAUACAGGAAGAAACUUAUCCACGUGUGGAUAACUGACGGUACUGUAAGAAUAAGGACCGGCUAACUCCGUGCCAGCAGCCGCGGUAAUACGGAGGGUCCAAGCGUUAUCCGGAAUCAUUGGGUUUAAAGGGUCCGUAGGCGGGCAAUUAAGUCAGAGGUGAAAUCCCACAGCUCAACUGUGGAACUGCCUUUGAUACUGGUUGUCUUGAAUUACAGUGAAGUAGAUAGAAUAUGUAGUGUAGCGGUGAAAUGCAUAGAUAUUACAUAGAAUACCGAUUGCGAAGGCAGUCUACUAACUGUAUACUGACGCUAAUGGACGAAAGCGUGGGGAGCGAACAGGAUUAGAUACCCUGGUAGUCCACGCCGUAAACGAUGGUCACUAGUUGUUGGGGUGCAGUCGAGCAGUGAUU